UAGCUCAGUUGGUAAAGUGUUUGUCUCAGAAACACAAAGACCUGAGUUUGAUUCUCAG
Molecule: transfer RNA, 58 nt
Filed under: Neotoma lepida (desert woodrat)
Lineage: Eukaryota; Metazoa; Chordata; Mammalia; Rodentia; Cricetidae
Rfam family: tRNA
About the family: Transfer RNA (tRNA) molecules are approximately 80 nucleotides in length. Their secondary structure includes four short double-helical elements and three loops (D, anti-codon, and T loops). Further hydrogen bonds mediate the characteristic L-shaped molecular structure. tRNAs have two regions of fundamental functional importance: the anti-codon, which is responsible for specific mRNA codon recognition, and the 3' end, to which the tRNAs corresponding amino acid is attached (by aminoacyl-tRNA synthetases). tRNAs cope with the degeneracy of the genetic code in two manners: having more than one tRNA (with a specific anti-codon) for a particular amino acid; and 'wobble' base-pairing, i.e. permitting non-standard base-pairing at the 3rd anti-codon position.
Source: Rfam by way of RNAcentral